Molecule: ribosomal RNA, 490 nt
Filed under: uncultured bacterium
Lineage: Bacteria
Description: bacterial SSU rRNA
Rfam family: Bacterial small subunit ribosomal RNA
Source: RNAcentral
UCCUGGCUCAGAUUGAACGCUGGCGGCAUGCCUUACACAUGCAAGUCGAACGGUAACAGGUCUUCGGAUGCUGACGAGUGGCGAACGGGUGAGUAAUACAUCGGAACGUGCCCAGACGUGGGGGAUAACGAGGCGAAAGCUUUGCUAAUACCGCAUACGAUCUAAGGAUGAAAGCAGGGGACCGCAAGGCCUUGCGCGUUUGGAGCGGCCGAUGGCAGAUUAGGUAGUUGGUGGGAUAAAAGCUUACCAAGCCGACGAUCUGUAGCUGGUCUGAGAGGACGACCAGCCACACUGGGACUGAGACACGGCCCAGACUCCUACGGGAGGCAGCAGUGGGGAAUUUUGGACAAUGGGCGCAAGCCUGAUCCAGCAAUGCCGCGUGCAGGAUGAAGGCCUUCGGGUUGUAAACUGCUUUUGUACGGAACGAAAAGGCUCUGGCUAAUACCUGGGGCACAUGACGGUACCGUAAGAAUAAGCACCGGCUAACUAC